CGUUUAGUGGCGAACGGGUGAGUAAUACAUAGGUAACCUACCCUUAAGACGAGGAUAGCCAUUGGAAACGAUGGAUAAAACUGGAUAGGAUAUAGAGGAAGAAUCUUUUAUAUUUAAAAGAGAGAUCUGCUUAAGGAGGGGCCUGUGGCGCAUUAGCUAGUUGGUGGGGUAAGGGCCUACCAAGGCGAUGAUGCGUAGCCGGACUGAGAGGUUGAACGGCCACAAUGGAACUGAGAACGGUCCAUACUCCUACGGGAGGCAGCAG
Molecule: ribosomal RNA, 265 nt
Filed under: uncultured bacterium
Lineage: Bacteria
Description: partial 16S ribosomal RNA
Rfam family: Bacterial small subunit ribosomal RNA
Source: RNAcentral